GAUGAACGCUGGCGGCGUGCCUAAUACAUGCAAGUCGAGCGAACGGACGAGAAGCUUGCUUCUCUGAUGUUAGCGGCGGACGGGUGAGUAACACGUGGAUAACCUACCUAUAAGGCUGGGAUAACUUCGGGAAACCGGAGCUAAUACCGGAUAAUAUUUUGAACCGCAUGGUUCAAAAGUGAAAGACGGUCUUGCUGUCACUUAUAGAUGGAUCCGCGCUGCAUUAGCUAGUUGGUAAGGAAACGGCUUACCAAGGCAACGAUGCAUAGCCGACCUGAGAGGGUGAUCGGCCACACUGGAACUGAGACACGGUCCAGACUCCUACGGGAGGCAGCAGUAGGGAAUCUUCCGCAAUGGGCGAAAGCCUGACGGAGCAACGCCGCGUGAGUGAUGAAGGUCUGCGGAUCGUAAAACUCUGUUAUUAGGGAAGAACAUAUGUGUAAGUAACUGUGCACAUCUGGACGGUACCUAAUCAGAAAGCCACGGCUAACUACGU
RNAcentral lists this ribosomal RNA (496 nucleotides) under uncultured bacterium. RNAcentral describes it as "partial 16S ribosomal RNA". It matches the Rfam family "Bacterial small subunit ribosomal RNA", at positions 28 to 506 of the family's 1533-position model. The record is from RNAcentral.